GGCCACAGGCCUAAGAACACACUAACCCUGGAGUCGACCGCCACAGAGGGGUUGGAGCGCCGCCAGCAUCCCAAACCACGUAUGCAGAGCUGCUAUCGGGGGAGAAAGACAAGGCGAAGCGCAAAGGAAUCUAGCACAGCACAUGCCUACACGCAAGAACAUACUUACACAAAAACUCCCUAGAUGACAAGCAAAAUCAAAAGGGCCCAAGAGCCACAAACAGACUAUCGUAGAACCAUGGUAGGCUUAUCAUCGGUCGUUUGAGAGUUGAAAAG
Molecule: unclassified non-coding RNA, 275 nt
Filed under: Hevea brasiliensis (rubber tree)
Lineage: Eukaryota; Viridiplantae; Streptophyta; Magnoliopsida; Malpighiales; Euphorbiaceae
Source: RNAcentral